This 510-nucleotide ribosomal RNA is filed under the name uncultured Gammaproteobacteria bacterium. RNAcentral's name for it is "bacterial SSU rRNA". It matches the Rfam family "Bacterial small subunit ribosomal RNA", at positions 367 to 870 of the family's 1533-position model. Lineage: Bacteria; Pseudomonadati; Pseudomonadota; Gammaproteobacteria. The record is from RNAcentral.
CACAAUGGCGAAAGCCUGAUGCAGCAAUGCCGCGUGUGUGAAGAAGGCCUGCGGGUUGUAAAGCACUUUCAGUAGGGAGGAAACAGUAACGGCUAAUACCCCGAUACUUUGACGUUACCUACAGAAGAAGCACCGGCUAACUCUGUGCCAGCAGCCGCGUUAAUACAGAGGGUGCAAGCGUUAAUCGGAAUUACUGGGCGUAAAGCGCGCGUAGGCGGCUUGKUCAGUCGGAUGUGAAAGCCCCGGGCUUAACCUGGGAAUUGCAUUCGAUACUGCCAGGCUAGAAUGUAGUAGAGGGAAGUGGAAUUCCGGGUGUAGCGGUGAAAUGCGUAGAUAUCCGGAGGAACAUCAGUGGCGAAGGCGACUUCCUGGACUAACAUUGACGCUGAGGUGCGAAAGCGUGGGGAGCAAAACAGGAUUAGAUACCCUGGUAGUCCACGCCGUAAACGAUGUCAACUAGAUGUUGGAGGGUUUAACCCUUUAGUAUCGCAGUAACGCAUUAAGUUGACC